This 435-nucleotide ribosomal RNA is filed under the name uncultured bacterium. RNAcentral describes it as "bacterial SSU rRNA". It matches the Rfam family "Bacterial small subunit ribosomal RNA", at positions 917 to 1350 of the family's 1533-position model. The record is from RNAcentral.
GGACCCGCACAAGUAGUGGAGCAUGUGGUUUAAUUCGAAGAUACGCGCAGAACCUUACCAACACUUGACAUGUUCGUCGCGACUUUAAGAGAUUAAAGUUUUCGGUUCGGCCGGACGAAACACAGGUGCUGCAUGGCUGUCGUCAGCUCGUGUCGUGAGAUGUUGGGUUAAGUCCCGCAACGAGCGCAACCCUCACUUUUAGUUGCCAUCAUUAAGUUGGGCACUCUGAAAGAACUGCCAGUGAUAAGCUGGAGGAAGGUGGGGAUGACGUCAAGUCCUCAUGGCCCUUACGUGUUGGGCUACACACGUGCUACAAUGGUAUCUACAACAGGAAGCAAAACCGCGAGGUUAAGCAAAUCCUAAAAACCGGGCCCAGUUCAGAUUGUAGGCUGCAACUCGCCUACAUGAAGGAGGAAUCGCUAGUAAUGCCGUAUC